ACCACGCCUCGCCGAUCUUUUUGCUUUGUUUUGUUUUUAGCUGCUGUGUCCCCAACACCUGGAAGAACUGAGCUUCUGGAAUCUAAUAGAUGCUAAAUAAAUAUUUGUUGCAUGAAUGAUAGUGGUAUGAGAGGAAGAGGGAAAAAAAACGGAAAAAGGCUUCUUGGAAGAGGUGACACUUGAGGAUAUAUUUCCAAUUAAAUAUACCUAAGUGACUGCCCACCUCUGCAACCCAAUGUCACAUUCGAGUCUUACUGAACUACUUGACUGCAUUUCCCGAGAUCUCACCUCUUCUCGCCUGUACCCUGUGCGCGGAAAGUCAGCCCUCCACCUUCUCCCUGCUUCCACUCCCAAAAUACUUCGUGGUUUUGCAGCUCUGGAGUAUUUACCGUGUUGGCUGUUUAAAUUUCUGCCUCCAUCAGAAGGCAGAAACUGACUCGCGAACUAUUCCAUCCCCAGCCGAUAGUAGACGCUUAAAAAAGAACGAAAGAAGGUGGGUGGAGGACUUCAGUAACAUCAGGUGGCAGCCUCAAUUUUAUCGUUUGUGAAACGUGGAUAGUAAUCCCUCUAUCACGUGGCUGUUGCAGGAAUAAAGUGAAAAAACAAAACAGGCUAGCUUGUUCAAUAAAUGUGAGUUGAAUUAAAUCUG
This 649-nucleotide long non-coding RNA is filed under the name Homo sapiens (human). Its description in RNAcentral is "non-protein coding lnc-YBX1-1:2". The record is from RNAcentral. Lineage: Eukaryota; Metazoa; Chordata; Mammalia; Primates; Hominidae.